This 76-nucleotide transfer RNA is filed under the name Actinomycetes bacterium. Its description in RNAcentral is "tRNA-Gly". It matches the Rfam family "tRNA". From Rfam's summary of the family: Transfer RNA (tRNA) molecules are approximately 80 nucleotides in length. Their secondary structure includes four short double-helical elements and three loops (D, anti-codon, and T loops). RNAcentral also lists the same sequence under 10 other names. Lineage: Bacteria; Bacillati; Actinomycetota; Actinomycetes. The record is from RNAcentral.
GCGGACGUGGCUCAGUUGGUAGAGCACAACCUUGCCAAGGUUGGGGUCGCGGGUUCGAGUCCCGUCGUCCGCUCCA